UUCCGGCAUCAAGAAGUUACUCAUUCAAUCUGUAACGCCAACCGAGCGCGAAAAGCCACGGUGGUAAAACGAUGAGGGUUUCAAAAACCAAAAAAGUUCAAAAGU
This 105-nucleotide non-coding RNA is filed under the name Arachidicoccus ginsenosidimutans. Its description in RNAcentral is "Arachidicoccus sp. BS20 SAM-I/IV (S-adenosyl methionine) riboswitch aptamer". It matches the Rfam family "SAM-I/IV (S-adenosyl methionine) riboswitch aptamer". Rfam says of the family: It is found upstream of a number of genes which code for proteins involved in methionine or cysteine biosynthesis. It has been found mostly in the order Actinomycetales. RNAcentral also lists the same sequence under 1 other name. Lineage: Bacteria; Pseudomonadati; Bacteroidota; Chitinophagia; Chitinophagales; Chitinophagaceae. The record is from Rfam by way of RNAcentral.